AAGCGAUCUCCUGCAUAAUAUCAAGAGAAAACAUUUACCUUGAUUGAUAAGAAUCUGAUCUAGAAAAGAAGACCUUAGCAACAUGUGAUAAAAGUGUGAUUGUAGUUGAGAAACCAGGACAGAGCUCAAGACCAGAAACUGGUCUUGGGUUGGAUGGUGCUUCUACGACUCUUCCCACCUCUAAAUGGAUGCGCCGGUCCUGCUGUCUCGACAGGGAAUCAGGUGAUGCCCAAGUACCUGAAACCUCUUGGUUGCUUUAUAUUUACACAGGACAGCAUCUGUGGUUGGUUUCUUUCCAAUCAUUUACCCAAACAGAGCGUAAAUAUCAAUACAAAUAGCCAGCAUUCUAAUUUAAACGUUAGCAAUUUCAGAGGCACUCUUCCUGGUAUAUUCUUCAAGUGUUACCCAUUUCUCUCUUCAUAAGAAAACGUUAACUAAUGCCUUUUCCGUUUAGAACCUCUCUUCCCACACAUUCCCAUUUGACUUCCAAGUUUCUUGUUUUUAAGCUUUCUUUAUUCUCAAGUCCCUCUCCUACUUCCAUGUGGUUUUAUGGUUGUUUUGUUUUGUUCUGUUUUGCUUUUUUCUUUUUAAGAAAGAGACGGAAGGAGACUGCAUUUAAUUAGGGUUACUGCUUGAGGAAGAGUCAAUGUACCAGGGACUGCGUGCCACUAAGAAUGUAACUCCCCACACCCUUGUGACCUUUGUCUCUCCUAGAGCAGUGGUUGGAGUGUUGGAAGGUCCAGUCCUGUGGAAGUCUGUGCAGGCAGCCACUGCUGCUGUGAAUUCAUGGUGACAAUAGCUAUGACAUGAAUAGAAGACACCAUUUUUCAGCACUCCUUCCCAUAUUCCAGGUCCCUCAUGCUGACUGGUGCUGAAGCUAAGGCCUGGCUGUCUGCUGGUGGCAUUGCUGCUGACUCAUGUUUGUUAUCCCAAUUCUACCGAUCUUGACUACUAGCAUAUCUGUGAAGUGUUUGUGAGUGCAUCGAGCUGCCCCUGUUGAUCUGUGGACUGAACUGCCAAUUCCCAGACAACACAGAUGAGAGUUGCUCCAAAGAGCCUUUCUAAACAGGUCCACUUCCCCUGUAUCUUUUCUUUUCUACUACUUCUGGUGGGUGGUGGAGGUUAAAGCAUAUAAGAACCAUAGUUAAAAGUAGACAUUGAAAAAAUUAAAGUUACACUGGGCUUAAGGAGAGAGCUUCGUUCUACCAUUUUACUCUGGUAACGAUGAGUUGCCAUAGUUAGGGGGUUCAACUGACCACAAACUACUACCACUGCUCUCAAAAGGAAAGUAUAUCUUGCCUCUCUGGCAGUUGAUUUAUCUCCGGUUUGUGUUAUUGUAACUGAAAAUUGACCAACAGGGUACAUUUUGGGAAGUGAGAUGCUCAUGGGGGCGCCUUUCAAAGUUCUGUACUUUGCUGCCUCCUGAUUCCUCACCCCAUCCAAUAACAAACGUUGCAAAGGGCCAAGGGCGAGAGUAAGCAAUGUCUAAGUGAUGGAUGGCUUGGCCUGGUCUUGCUUCUAGCCAAGUCCUUCUAAUUGAUUGAUUUUUAACUCGAUACCACAGUUUUCUAGAGUGGAGAGAAAAAAAAUUCUGUGUCUACACAUUUCCUGGGUAUAUAUGAACAACACAAAGUAGAGGUGGUCUGUAUAAAAACCAAAGAGCUUCGUCCACCCUCUAUAUGAUUCUUUGCAAACACCAGAUUCUAAAAAGGCUAUUAACCUCUUGCCGGUAGACAGAGCUGUUUGCUGGCACCCCAGUGUAAAGACCAGGACUGAAAAGUGCCUUUUGUUGGCUUGUUUUCUCACAACUUAUUUGAAAGAAGAAAAAGAAAAUUGCAUCUGAGAGAGACCUAAGCAGCCAGUGACCCAGUAUUCUCUGGGACAGAGAGAUCGGUUUCCAGAAGGAGCUGCUGAGGGCACUUCCCAGUUUUGCCUUGUCCUUUCUUCAAUCUUCAUAAACCGGGAACUGUGGCUUUGUUAUCUGGGUCAAGAAAAGCCUCCGUAAAUGCUACCUCAAAAUAUACAGAAUAAAAUAAGCCUCGUUUUAAAACUGGUGGAGAGUUAGCUGGUCAUCAGGGGAGUCAGCCAGGGAGGCUGCAAGCAUCAGUCUUUCCAAGUUUUAAAAUUGCACUUUCUAUUUUUGAUGUACAUCUCUGAUGUGUGUUCCCUGCCUUCCUCAGCAGAAUGUCCUAGGUACAAAUUAAACUGUCCCCGGUGAGUGUGGCUGUCAUCCUGGACACCUGCUUUACUCAGCACUGGAACUGAGAUGUCCUCAGAACAAUUCAUCGGGUCAUGCCCUGAUCAGGCCGGUCCCGAAUGACCUUAGAUUCUAUGCCAUCAGGUUUCAUGCUCAACAUGGUAAUCAUUCUGUUUUCCAUCCUGCUUGGUUAAAAAGUAAAAGCUGCUUUUACCAAAUUUAAAACUGUGUUCCAAAGGCCUAGAAUUAAAUUUAGGUGGCAAGUUGCAUCAGCAUACAAAACACUUGCUUCCAAACAGAGGUAUGGGGCUUCCUCCUCUGAGGAAAAGGCCACCUCUUCAGUUGAUAUAAACUGGUCAAUUAUUGUGUGCCCUUGAGCAUCUUUUCUUUCCGUUAGGUUCAUGCCCAUUCCACUAUAGAAUGAAGAGUCUCUUAGUGGUCCUAGGACAAGCACCCAUUCUGGGCAUCACACAUGGACUAACAAAAAGUGUUGGUUCAUGGGCUACACCAGUGGGAGCUUUUGGGAUGCUGCCCAAGAAACUGUGUUUUCACAAUGUCUUCGGAUGUGGCUUAUGCACAUUAUAGUUUGGAGAAUCUUUUUUUUUUCCCAGAGCGUCUGAGACUUGGCAGGAUUUUGACAACAGCCUAUCUGGGCUGUUUCAUGUGCUUCAGGUAAAUGUCAAGCUGUGUUACAAGGAAUGCCUGGGAAAGAAAUCGCCUGGAGAGAGGAGGUAGUGAGCAGCCGCGGCCUACCAUGCUCUCCCACCUCACCAAUGCAGAGGUGCGUGUCUCUUCAGGAGAUGCUAUUUGUCCUCUGUCCACAGUGGCUCCCUCUGACCCUUCAAGCUCCAAUUCCCCGUGGCUUUUCUGCCUAUGCAGACAGAAGCCAUUGCUUUGUUCUGUGCCCUCAAGGCGCUGCUCCUCUGCUGUCAUUUACCACGUAAUCCAUCAGUCUUUCUAUUCGUCUCCCACCCCAGGCACGGGUCAACGCUGUUCAUGUUAACACUGCAUCUAGCUCGAACAUUUGUCGAAAGGAGCUUAAUUAUGCAAUAAACAAAUCUUCAGGCACACGCGGAAAGACAAGGGAGGGAAAAGAUCCAAGACUUUCAGUAGGAGAACAUGACCAUUUUAAAUGAGUUUCUGGUUAUCAGGCUCAAGUGGCAGCCACCAUGCUGGACACAGAUACCUGCAGUCAAUGGCCUGUCUGUGGGAGCUGCUAGCUCUGCGCCAAUUAGAGUCCGGCACAGGCAUUUGUUCACUCGGGAAUCUCAUUGCAGACGGGGUGGGGGGUAGCUCAGAAACUGUCAGGAGCUGUCUCAGCUGCCAGUCACAGUGGGUCUCCAGGGGCCUGUGGACUGCAAGUGCCUUUCACCUCUCCUUGUGUACGAUAACCUCCAGUGGGUUUAGGGCAGAUGGUACAGGGGAGGGAUGCUGAAGAGGAUGUCAGAGAUAGACAGCAUGCAUUUCAAUUCACGACAUAGCCAUAGGAGGAGCCGAGAGACAAGCUACAGUUCCUCCGAACUGCAGCUGCCUCAUAGGAAGGGGACCAGGAUCUCUGUUUCCUUGACACCUAAUUCCGAAUACAACCUGUAAGCCCUUCAUUCCCCAUGGCUCAUACUCUAAAUCCCUUUACUUUGCUCUAGUUUUUCCAUUUAUUAACCUUCUAACAUCUUGUGGUUUUUUUCCCCCAUUUAUUCCCCUCUCUCUGCUAGGAUAAAAGUCAAUAUGAAGGUGGAGAGGGUUAUCUGUUUUGUAUACUGAUAUAUCUUUGAUGCUUAAAAAAUGCAUGGCAUAAAGAAAAUACUAAGUGACUUAUUUUUUUCUUACAUGAAAUAAACUUUCCUUUCUCUCAGUUUCUUGAAAAGCGGGUCCAUCUCACUUUAAUGCUCCAUGUCCAGGUUUAAUUAGAAUAUUUCCCCUCCCCUCCAUUUCCAGAUCCUAAACAGUGGCCCAGCAAAGCCGCAAAGGUUACCUGUUCCUGUGUUCUCGAUGCAGCCAUACUUGGGCAGAGCGCUUAGUUUAAUGACAGCGUCGUCCUGAAGGUUGUCCUGAUCUUCAGUCGCAAAGAAGUGGUGGAGAGAGAGUGGUGCUCUCCCUCCCUCAUCAACCUGAGGAAGAAAGGAGGGCACAAUGGACAACUGCAGGGGUCAGGGCGCAGAACCAGAAACUGUUGCCUGGGGUCACCAUCAGCACCAGUUCCACUUUUGUGGGAGGUAGAUCUCUGCUGAUGAGGAAGGUGUCUGCUGCCAAAGCCGGACUAUCUUUCAGCACCUCACAGAGAUGCGCACACACCUCUGCUGUGCGUCUCCUAUCAAAACUGCACUUCAUGGAAUGACGGAUCUGGUUAUAAAGCAGUUCUGGCUAGUUCUAACCACCCAUCUCAACAUGUUUCAGGAUGGGACAGCUGCCUUCUCGGGGCAUCAGAAUUCCUUAGAGCAUAGCUGGAAAAUGACAGAUGCAGCCCUCCUUCCCGUUCCCUGGGUUGACUGUCCUACAGGCGAUACCGUCUAGAAUAAAAGUCCCAUUUAUCCCCU
Long non-coding RNA from Mus musculus (house mouse), 4731 nucleotides. RefSeq annotates it as predicted gene, 52781. The transcript is spliced from 2 exons. The record is from RefSeq and is a predicted model, not a curated record. Lineage: Eukaryota; Metazoa; Chordata; Mammalia; Rodentia; Muridae.